GAGCAGGGUUCUCAUUUGAUAUCGCAGCCCCGUCUGGGAACAACAUAAGCAGCCUCUUACCGCUCAGGAAGCACUCAACGCUGGAGUCAACCGUCCACUGAUCAUUUGGCUCUCUGUGUUCUCUGUCUAGCUUUGUUUAGCUCUCUUUCCUCUCUCUCUCUCUCUCUCUCUCUCUCUCCCUCUCUCUCUCACUGUUCUCUCUCUCUAUAACUGUGUGGAUCACGCCCCCACUUCUCUCUCUCGUGCGUGAGCUCUCUGUCUCUCACUAACUCCCUCACUCCCUCACCCAUCUCUCUCUCUCUCUCCCUCUCUCUCUCCCUUUCUCUCUCUCACUCUCCCUCACCCUCCAUCAGUUUCUCCACCAGCUUCAGUCAGACUAGAAGGGAGUUGGAGGCUACUGGGUCUACUGUCAGAUAGGCAGGACUAGAUCCAACAACCCACAGGAUUAUUUACCUUUAAAGGAAUAUACUCUUUUCCUUGAUUCUACCUCUUGCCUUUCUGUCUUCCUUCAUCAACAUCCACAUCCUGCUCUUACUCUUCUUCCUCCUCCCCCUCGUCCUCCUCCUGCCUUUCUUUCUCCUGCUUCCACACCCUGCCUCUGAGCGUGUUGGAGAGAGGCACCGUUCGCGCGGCAAAGCGGUUCGAGUGGACCUCAGUGUGAGUGUGAGUGUGAGUGUGUGAGUGUAUGUGUGCGUGUGAGCCUCUCCAGUCCACUCUCUCUCUCAGUGGAACAGCCCUUUUUAAAUGGACUUUUAUAUUGGUUUGAGACUUUAUCACCACUGAAAGCAACACCACUGCCGAAGCACUACUGUACAUGUUGGAAUAAAAACAGAUCAGAAAAUCUUUAGUCCCAAGAUGAGUGAGGAAGCUAAAGAUAAAACCACUGGCAAACCAGCGCAUCGUAAGAAGAAAGGCAAAAAGUUCCCAGUUGUUUUGAAAGCACCAUAAAUCCUGAGAAUGCCCGACUUUGAUUACAAAAUUUGCCCACGAAGGACUGCCA
Molecule: long non-coding RNA, 1000 nt
Organism: Oncorhynchus tshawytscha (Chinook salmon)
Lineage: Eukaryota; Metazoa; Chordata; Actinopteri; Salmoniformes; Salmonidae
Source: Ensembl